GACGAACGCUGGCGGCGUGCCUAAUACAUGCAAGUUGAGCGCUGAAGGUUGGUACUUGUACCAACUGGAUGAGCAGCGAACGGGUGAGUAACGCGUGGGGAAUCUGCCUUUGAGCGGGGGACAACAUUUGGAAACGAAUGCUAAUACCGCAUAAAAACUUUAAACACACGUUUUAAGUUUGAAAGAUGCAAUUGCAUCACUCAAAGAUGAUCCCGCGUUGUAUUAGCUAGUUGGUGAGGUAAAGGCUCACCAAGGCGAUGAUACAUAGCCGACCUGAGAGGGUGAGCGGCCACAUUGGGACUGAGACACGGCCCAAACUCCUACGGGAGGCAGCAGUAGGGAAUCUUCGGCAAUGGACGAAAGUCUGACCGAGCAACGCCGCGUGAGUGAAGAAGGUUUUCGGAUCGUAAAACUCUGUUGGUAGAGAAGAACGUUGGUGAGAGUGGAAAGCUCAUCAAGUGACGGUAACUACCCAGAAAGGGACGGCUAACUACGUG
RNAcentral lists this ribosomal RNA (497 nucleotides) under uncultured bacterium. Its description in RNAcentral is "partial 16S ribosomal RNA". It matches the Rfam family "Bacterial small subunit ribosomal RNA", at positions 28 to 507 of the family's 1533-position model. The record is from RNAcentral.